GCUCAAACAUACCCAACGAGCUUCAACUUCCACACCAAACUGAUUCUUCGGCCGGAGUAGAUGAAAUGCUUCGCAGACAAGAUUCUGUGUUAGUACAGGACGAUCUCUACUUCUCUGCUGGAGACGAUGGACCAACGGAUCAGUCUCUGCCAGACCAAGACCAUCAAUUCAAUCAAGAAGAAACACCCGAAGCUUCAUAUCAAACGGUAUCAGAAGGUGGGACUCGAUCUAAACUCACUCCAGCUCAAAGAAAAGAAAACAAAAGACAAAGUGAUUACAAGUAUAGGCAAAAGCGCAAGGUAUAAGAUAAUCCAAUUAUUUUUCUCUCUCUAGAAUAUUGCCUCUAAUGGAAUUAGUUAUAAUCAAAAUGUUUACUUUAAAUGCCCUUUUUAACCCAUCAUAUUGAUAUGAUUGUAUUUUACCUAGAAUGGUCAAGUGGUGACCAAAUUAUGUAAAUUGAUUUCUUAGAUUUGUCUUGUUUGAUAUUAACAUUCUGCGGUGUAGGUAAAAGCAGAUGAACAGAAUGGGGAGAUUAAACGCUUGAAAGAGGAAAUUCAACGGCUCAACGUUGAGAAUGGACAGUUGACAGCACAACUUGGAUUGCCACUCUCUAUUGCGCAAUUCCAAGCAGCAGCUCAACAGAGACAGGAUGGUUACAUUACCCAGUCAACCGGCAAGCAGCUUCACCCUCAAACUCUUACUGUCCAUGGAACAAACUCUGAAGCUGUUGACAAGGUAUGGCAUAUUAAUUGUUCUUCAUGUUUGAAAAAUCUAAUGCUUGAACUGGAAUUUAUGUUUGGAUUUCGAUACCUUGGGUUAAACCAUAUUAAGUUUCUCAUAAAGAUUCAAAUUCUGGAAUCCUGAUUUGUUUUCCCUCACAAUUCAUUGUCUCGGCUCUGCAAUUUGGAGAUGAAUGAGAUACAAAAUAUACAGGGAACAGUUUCUGUAAUUGUAGUUGAUGGUAAUGACGGUAUAGCAAAAAAUCAGACGAGUUCUGAAGUUGAAACAUGCAUUAAUAAUGAAGCAGCCAUAACUGACAUUCUUAUGAAACUUGAAGCUGAUGACGAGAGCAGAGUGAAGUUCUCUGACUUCACUGGCUUACAUGGUGAGUGCAUACCAGUAGGAAAAUAUAGUUUCCCACCAGCCCUACAUCCGAUUGUGAAC
This 1164-nucleotide long non-coding RNA is filed under the name Gossypium barbadense (sea-island cotton). RNAcentral's name for it is "long non-coding RNA (GBAR_LNC016642)". The record is from RNAcentral. Lineage: Eukaryota; Viridiplantae; Streptophyta; Magnoliopsida; Malvales; Malvaceae.